This 368-nucleotide ribosomal RNA is filed under the name uncultured organism. RNAcentral's name for it is "bacterial SSU rRNA". It matches the Rfam family "Bacterial small subunit ribosomal RNA", at positions 526 to 896 of the family's 1533-position model. The record is from RNAcentral.
CGGAGGAUCCAAGCGUUAUCCGGAUUUAUUGGGUUUAAAGGGUGCGUAGGCGGCUUUUUAAGUCAGGGGUGAAAGACGGUAGCUCAACUACCGCAGUGCCCUUGAUACUGAAGAGCUUGAAUGUACUUGAGGUAGGCGGAAUGUGACAAGUAGCGGUGAAAUGCAUAGAUAUGUCACAGAACACCAAUUGCGAAGGCAGCUUACUAAAGUAUGAUUGACGCUGAGGCACGAAAGCGUGGGGAUCAAACAGGAUUAGAUACCCUGGUAGUCCACGCCCUAAACGAUGAACACUCGAUGUUGGCGAUAUACGGUCAGCGUCUAAGCGAAAGCGUUAAGUGUUCCACCUGGGGAGUACGCCCGCAAGGGUG